UACGUAGGGUGCAAGCGUUAUUCGGAAUUAUUGGGCGUAAAGGGCGCGUAGGCGGCUUUGCAAGUGGCGGGUGAAAUCCCUCGGCUUAACCGAGGAACUGCCUGCCAGACUGUGAGGCUUGAGACCGGGAGAGGUGAGUGGAAUUCCCAGUGUAGCGGCGGAAUGCGUAGAGAUCGGGAAGAACAUCAGUGGCGAAGGCGGCCUGCUGGGCUGUUGCUGACGCUGAGGCGCGACAGCGUGGGGGAGCAAACAGG
RNAcentral lists this ribosomal RNA (254 nucleotides) under uncultured bacterium. RNAcentral describes it as "partial 16S ribosomal RNA". It matches the Rfam family "Bacterial small subunit ribosomal RNA", at positions 524 to 776 of the family's 1533-position model. The record is from RNAcentral.